GAUUAUGGCUCAGGACGAACGCUGGCGGCGUGCUUAACACAUGCAAGUCGAGCGAUGAAGCUCUUCGGAAGUGGAUUAGCGGCGGACGGGUGAGUAACACGUGGGUAACCUGCCUCAUAGAGGGGAAUAGCCUUCCGAAAGGAAGAUUAAUACCGCAUAAGAUUGUAAUAUCGCAUGAUAUAGCAAUUAAAGGAGUAAUCCGCUAUGAGAUGGACCCGCGUCGCAUUAGCUAGUUGGUGAGGUAACGGCUCACCAAGGCGACGAUGCGUAGCCGACCUGAGAGGGUGAUCGGCCACAUUGGGACUGAGACACGGCCCAGACUCCUACGGGAGGCAGCAGUGGGGAAUAUUGCACAAUGGGGGAAACCCUGAUGCAGCCAACGCCGCGUGAGUGAUGACGGUCUUCGGAUUGUAAAGCUCUGUCUUCAGGGACGAUAAUGACGGUACCUGAGGAGGAAGCCACGGCUAACUACGUGCCAGCCGCUGC
RNAcentral lists this ribosomal RNA (486 nucleotides) under uncultured bacterium. Its description in RNAcentral is "bacterial SSU rRNA". It matches the Rfam family "Bacterial small subunit ribosomal RNA", at positions 15 to 518 of the family's 1533-position model. The record is from RNAcentral.